This 491-nucleotide ribosomal RNA is filed under the name uncultured bacterium. Its description in RNAcentral is "bacterial SSU rRNA". It matches the Rfam family "Bacterial small subunit ribosomal RNA", at positions 40 to 526 of the family's 1533-position model. The record is from RNAcentral.
CCGCCGCCGUAACACAUGCAAGUCGAGCGGAUGAGAAGAGCUUGCUCUUCGAGUUAGCGGCGGACGGGUGAGUAAUGCCUAGGAAUCUGCCUGGUAGUGGGGGACAACGUUUCGAAAGGAACGCUAAUACCGCAUACGUCCUACGGGAGAAAGCAGGGGACCUUCGGGCCUUGCGCUAUCAGAUGAGCCUAGGUCGGAUUAGCUAGUUGGUGAGGUAAUGGCUCACCAAGGCGACGAUCCGUAACUGGUCUGAGAGGAUGAUCAGUCACACUGGAACUGAGACACGGUCCAGACUCCUACGGGAGGCAGCAGUGGGGAAUAUUGGACAAUGGGCGAAAGCCUGAUCCAGCCAUGCCGCGUGUGUGAAGAAGGUCUUCGGAUUGUAAAGCACUUUAAGUUGGGAGGAAGGGCAGUAAGCGAAUACCUUGCUGUUUUGACGUUACCGACAGAAUAAGCACCGGCUAACUCUGUGCCAGCCGCCGCAGUAAGAC